GAAAAGUCUCUGGACCUUUGUUCUGCUACUUUCUAAUGCGUGACUUUGGGUAAAUUACUGAAUUUCUUUGGACUUGGUUCUUCGUCUGUAACAUAGAGACGACCCUGUGGGAGGCGACUGUCUGCUAUGGCGGAACCCCGGGACACCCCUUCCUCGGGGAGCCUUUCCUUUCUCCUCUGGUGGCGAGGCUGAUGCCUCCUCCCUGACUUGGUGAGGACCGAGUGAAGUGGGAUAUGUGCUGUGCCUUGGAAACCGUCAAAUACCACCUAAAGUCUAGUGUCUUCAGUGAACUUCAGCCCCAUCCUGUGGCCUCCAGUUGUGUGAUACUAUCAGAUGGCCCCUUGCUGCUGGAGUGGAUGUUCUUGGCAAUGAAAAGAAGAAGUGGGGGCAAAGGUGAAGUAUGGGGCCUAGAUGCUUCUAGCAGUUUAGAUGAUGACUUCUCAGGAACUUGUUGUUAACUGCUCUGCACCCCCUGCGUUGAUUAGAUUCUGGUUCUCUGGGGCCAGUUUCUUCAUGCUGUCUGGAGCCCCAGCUUCGCACCUGGCUGACUCACCUUUUGCACUGAGUUCAGCACUGGAGAUGGAGAGGGGGUGGGGAGGAGAGGAGAAAUUUUAGUGCUGUAUGAAUUCAGUUGGAAAAAUAAUCAUACAGGAUUUAAGCAAAUCUCAUAUUGCCCCUGGAAUGGUUUUAGGUUUUUUUAUAAAACCCAACCAGCGUCAGCUGAUGCCCCAUCUCUUCAAGGUCAAACAUUCCAAGAUUCUAGAGCAAAGCUGUGUUCCCAGAUUUGUCUAGAAGCCCUUUCUCCCCCCUCACCUUAACUGACGCCUGGAUGGUCCCCAUGAGGGAUUUCUUUUGCAGCCUCUCCCAAGCCUCCCAUUUGGAGAGUGGGGCUGCCCAGUUCCUUCUCUCCUGGUGUCACUUUGAGAUUACUGCUCAGAGGAACUUAUUCUUUUCUCAAGAGACUGUUUUCUUUUAAAGUUCACAAUGUUCAUUUUUUUCUUUGUUUGCUGCAAGGAGAACUCUGAUUCUGACUGAAAUUCUGCCAAUUAGAAAGAUUGUUUUCCAAUCGUCUUGAAAUUUUUCAGAGUUGCUCAAAGUGUUGGGAAAAUUGGAUGCCAGAAUUUGUAGAUCCCUGGCCAACCAAGAGACAUGGGCAGAAGGUGACCUGGUCUUCAGAGCUCUCACAAGAUCUCUGAGAGAGACUGGUAUGACAGUCCUUGGGGACCUUCCCCCUUUAUAAAUGCUGUGUUCAUUUUUUAAUAAGAUAUUUGACAUAUAUAAAAAUAAAAUAUAAUGUAUGUAAGGUGAAAAAAAUACUCCUGGACCACUCGCCCAACUUGAGAAAUAGAACGUUGCUGGAAUGAUGAAGCAGCCGCGGGCGCUCGCUGCUGGUUGUCCCCUCACCAAGAGGAACAUGUGUGUCUGUUGUUCUCUUGCCUGUCAUUGCAGUUUGAAAACGUGUUUAGUAAAAUGAAUAUAUUUGAUAAUUUUGUGUGCAUUUGAACUUUAUGUGAAUAGUAUCACACAGGGUAAUUUUUUGUGCCUUCUGUUUUUCAGGUUCAUCUGAAUUGAUGCCUUUAGCCAUAGUUAAUUCAUUUUUGCUGCUGAAUAGUAUUCCGUUAUAUGACUAUGCCACACUUUUUUUACCAUCCCCUGCCUGUGUGCAUUUGGCUAUUUCCCAUUAUGCUAUUGAUAGUAAUGCUGCUGUAAAUAUUCUUGGCCAUGUUUCCUGGGCACGUGGACGAGAUUUUCUCCUGGGUCACAGUAUUUCCUUUUACCAUUUUCUCUAUAUUCUCAUCUUCUCUGCUAGGAUUCUCUCCUUCUUCAGUGAUGUCAUUUCUGGUUAUUGUCCUCAGAGACUCUGCUGCACACACCGAUGGUAUAAACGUAAACAAGCCACAGUGCCUUUCUUUGGUCCGCUCCAGGGUGGCGGAAUAACUGAUCACAGCAGUCACGUUGUGACCCACUUGAAACCCCAGCGCUGGAUUCUUGGAGACGACUAUCUCGCCUCUGCCUUUCCCUGAAGAACUUUGCUGCUUUUACCAACAUCUCUCAUCAUUUGACUUCUGCCCCAGCCUCUGUGGAAGAUGCCCUCUCAGAGCUCACCAGUGACCUCCCAAGGAUCAAGGCUGAAGGCUGUGUCAUUGUCCUUCCUCACCUGGCUGCACCCCUGCCGUCUGAAACUCCUUCUUUGGUUUGCACAGCAUGCCACUGCCCCGAUCGUCCUCCCGACCCGUUCCUCGUCUGCCUUAUACUUCUUGUCUGUGUACGUUCCUUAGGUUCUACCUCGGAGAAAUCAUCCAUUCCUUCCAUUUUAGCCAAGACACAACCAUCUAACCCAGGAAAUUAACAUUAGUACCAUUUAACUCUCAGACCCUGUUUGAAUUUUACUUAUUGUCUGAGUAACGUCUUUUACAGCAACAGGACCUAACCUAGGAUCAGUCAUGUCUCAGUCUCCUUCAGUCUGGAUUUGUUCCUCAGUCUUUCCUUGACUUCAUGAUCUUGAUGGUUUUGAAGACACAAGUCCAAUUAUUUUGUCAAAUGUCCCUCAGUUUUGGUUUACUGAUGUUUCCUCAUUAGAUUUAAGUUAUACAUCUUUGCUAGGAGUAUUCCAGAGGUGAUGCUGCUACAUCCUCAUUAGAUUUAAGUUAUACGUCUUUGCUAGGAGUAUUCCAGAAGUGAUGCUGCAUUCCUUUCAUUGCACUACUAAAAGGCGUAGGAUUCAAAUGUAUCCCAUUACUGAUGACAUUAAUUUUGAUCGCUGGAUUAAGAUUGUAUCUCUCAGCCUUUUCCACUGUGAAAUUACUUCUCUCCUCUUUGUAGGUAAUGAAGUAAUUAAUGAAUAUAUAUGGGAAGCUGCUUUGAGACUCUGUAAAUAUCCUGUUAAUCAUCAAACUUUCAAUUUACUCUUUAUUUAUGUCAGUAUGAACUCAUGAAUUGCUAUUUAUUCAAUGGAUUUUAAUCUAUUGUUAUUUAUUAUCAUCGUUUAUUUUGGUACUGAAUUGUCAAGCUGGCUUUAGAGUCCUUUUGACAUGUUCUGUCGUUCUUUGAAAACUGCCUUAUUUUCUGGCACAAAAAGUUGUUUCAGGCUCACCUUUUACUUUUUCUAUUCGGUCUUAGAAUUAGCCAUUUUUUUUUAAGGAAUGCGGUAUUCUUUUAGUGAAAAAUGGUAUUUAGAACCCAAAAUCUGGGUUCUUGAUGAGUUUACUGCUGUUGGGGUGUUAUUGCUCCCACCCUCUCUCAGAGGGAAGAGCUAGGGAAUACACACAUUUACAUCUCUAUUUCUCUCUAUAUUGAUAACUAUGAGUUCACAUUUAUAUCUCUAAUUCAAAUCCAUAGGGUUUACUCUAGUUUUCUCCCUUUCCAUUUUCGUAACUGUGAUGGUUAAUUUUAUGUGUCAGUCUGACUGGGCUACGGGGCCCCCAGAUACUUGGUUAAACAUUAUACCGGUGUGUCUGUGAGGGUGUUUCUGGAUGAGAUAAACAUUUGAAUUAAGUUUAGUAAAGCUGAUUGCCCUCCCCAGUGUGUGUGGGCCUCAUCCAACCCACUGAAGUCCUGAAUAGAACAAAAAGGCUGAGUAAGAACGAAUUCACUCUCUGCCUGACUGUCUUCGAGCUGGGACAUUGGUCUUCACCUGCCUUCGGACUUGGACUUGGACUUGGACUCAGGCUGACAGGUACACCAUUAGCUCUCCUAGUUCUCAGGCCUUUGGACUGGAGCUACACCAUUGGCUCUUCUGGGUCUCCAGUUUGCCAACAGCAGAUCUGGGGACUUCUCAGCCUCCAUAACCACGUGAGCCAAUUCCUUAUGAUAUAUCUCUUUAUAUCUGUAUUAUCUGUAUCUACAUCCACAUCUACAUCUAUAUCUAUAUUUACUUCUCCUGUUGGUUCUGUUUCUCUGGUGAAUCUAGACUAAUACAGCAUCCCAGUGAAAAGCCUGGGUUCUAUAAUUUUCAAUAUAUUUACCUGUUUGAUCAAUUGUCCUUUAUGUUAAUGAAUUCCCCUCAUUGCCACCACUCAACUCCUCCUUCAUGGAGAUCAUCCUUACCUCUCUGAGGCUCUGACAACGUGUGCUGUGUUGCCCUUUUGUACAGAUGGUCUCUUUGCCUAAGUUGGGCUCUGAGACCCCUCGGAGGGCCCAGGUCACCCUCUUAUGCUGACACCUGACACCCCUGGCUCAGGUUACUGUUCCUUCUCCCAUAGUGUGAAUGCCUACCUUCUCAACUCCACCAAUAGCUUUAGGACUGAAUUGUUCAGGAAGGAAAGGAAAGGGAAAGAAGAGAAGGGGAGGGGAGAGAAAUGGUAGUGAAGAGAAAGAAGAAGAGGAACAGGAAGAGGGACAUAAUUUUUCUUUCAAAAUCUAGUUCCUUCCUUCCAACUAUUUGCCAUUGGCACUGAUGCAUCCUACAGGCACUUUAAAAUCUACAUACCUAAAACUGCUCAUGUUUCCUUUCCGGUAAAACCUUUCUCUCUUCACUCUCCUAUGCUGCUGAUGGGAGUAUAAAUAGUUUAUUCUUUCUGGAGGACACUUUGGCAAUAUGGUUCAAAAGCCUUAAAAAAAAAAUCCUACGUUUCUUUUGACCUUGAAUUAUACUUUUAGGAAUUUAUACUAAAGAAAUAAUUAAAGAUGUACAGAGACAUUCAGAUUUAAGGAUGUUAAUUAUAGCUAAAAUUGGAAUUAUACAGAAUGUUUUGCAUCAGGGAGCAGAUAAAUUGGGAUAAACCCAUAAGUUAGGAUUCUAUGUCAUCAGUACAAUAAUGCUGAAUUACAAUCAUUGAUAUGGAAAGAUGUUCACUAUAUGAUAUUAAGUGAAAAAAACUGAUAAAAUGGAAUUAUCCCAAUUUAUUAUUAAAAUAUUAGAAAUAUAUAUGUAUAGGAGAAAAAACUUAGGAUGGUAUAUCAGAAGGGAAUUUUAAUAUUGAGAUUAUGGACUUUUUUUCACUCAAUAUUUUUAGUCUUUUCUUCACCAAAUACUUUUAUUUAUACAAAAAUCAAAAGCUAUGAAAAGAAAACUACAUAGGUCUUUGUGCUGAAUUUGCCAUUUCUGUAAAUGGUACAGCUGUUCUUGAAGUCUUCAGACUCUGAAUCAUCGCUGAUGUCUCCAUCUUAUCAGUCACAGAGUCCUCUAGAUACUCUUUUCACAAUAUUUCUUGGGGUGCCCCUUCCUUCUAUUUGCCUGCCACCGCUCCAGCUCAGACCUUGUCGUGUCAUACCUGGGCCAUUUCACAGGCUGCAUUGACGGAGCUCUCUACUCUACCCUGAUCCAGGCAGCCAGAUGAGUUUCCCUGAGGCAGUUCUUUCAUCACAUUGCUCCCUGCGCAGAAAUCUCUGGUGGUUCUUCUCUGCAUCUCCAAUAAAGGCUGGAUGCCUUAGCUCAGGCUUCCAUAACCUGGUCCCACCCAGUGUUGCAGUAAUCAUACUCAAACUCUAUGCUCCAGCAACAUUUUCCAGCUUUACUUUCUAUGAACAUAUAUUGCAUUUUCCUGCCUCUGUGGUUUGCUCAACUACUGGUCAUUCUGGAAUCACCUUUUCCCUCUACUUUUACUUCUGCUCAUUCUUUAGUGCCCGACUUAAAUGUCACCUCUUCUAUGGUCUCUCUCCCCAGGGGCCCCAUUGGAUGUAAUUUUCUCAUCUCUGAACAGUCUAGCAUUUUGUGUCACUCCCAUUUUAUACACCAUAUUCAGCACUCUAUUCUUUCUUCAGUUGGGCAAACUUUCUUCCCCUUGGGUAUAGUCAGUCCAUUCUAGAAUUUGAGCCUUCUUCCUUGGAAUUCCUUAUGCUUGGCUCAACCUUCCUAUCCAUUUUUAUGCCCCACUCUAUGUUACAGAAAACCCUAAAUUGAGAUCAUAAGACUUAGACUUGAUCUUCUUAAUCUUCUUCCUUGAAAUUGUCUGCUUCUCAAUUCACUAAAACAUGGUUUCUGCCCCUCUAAAUGCUAUCAAAAUUGACUGGCGAAGGUCAUCAUGAACCCCAUUUGCUAAAUCUAAUAAACUCAUGUGUGAGAGGGAGUGCAGUGCAGGAGGGCUGACUGACGCUGCAGCUGGAUGGACUAGGACUGGAGCCCAACUUCCCCUUUUACUGUCUCUAUCUUGUACGAGUUACCUGACUUCUUCAAGGACUAGUUUCCUCAUCUUUGAAGUGAGGAGGAAUAAUAGUGCCUUCUUACAAAGAUUGUUGUAAAAAUUAAAUGAGAUGAUGUUCAUAGAGUGUUUGCACAGUGUUGGACACCACGAAGUGCUCUGUAAAUAUUAGCUGCUGUAGUUAUUGCACCAUAAAGUCUAGGACCAUUGCACUGGCUCUGCCUACCCUUCUUCACCCUCAAUUCUUGUUGAAGCCCUUCCUUCCUGCCCAUCCCAUAUACUUUAUGCUUCAGUUAUGGAAGACUGCAUAUAGGCUCCCAAACACACUCACUCUGGCCCUUCUCUGAGUUUUUGUGCUUGCUCUUUCUUAGACCAAGAAUCUCCUUUACCCAUUCCUUAUUUGCCCAGUAGACUCCUAUUCAUCUUUUGAAACCUAAUUCAUAUGUCACCUUCUAGUAAAGCCCGCCCUCCUUUUCCCCAGUCAAGGAAUUUACUUUCUCCUCUAUGUAAUCUUUGUACCUUGCAUGUGUUUCCAUUGGUGCUCUUACCACAUUGCACUAUAACUUCUGUGUUUACACUGACAUCCCCCAGCUGUAAACUCCUUGACUCUGUUCUCUUUUCGGUUCCUACCACAGCGUGUGGCACAUACUAGACACUCAGCAAGAUUUGCUGAAUGAAGUGGAAGGAGGCAAAGCUGGGAAACGGCAGAGGCAGGACUCGAAGUCAGGACUUCUUACUCCUAGUCCCGUGUGCUCUCACUGACCUUCCCCCAAAGCCGCAAGCACAUUGAGUCAGUUGUGCAGGUUGUCAUCUACUGUCUCGUGGCCGUGGACUGACCCUGAGAGUGAGAUUUAUUGCCUGGUAUUAGAAAAGCUUUAGAUUCCAGCUCCUCUCAAAGGAGUUGUGCAAAGAAGGGACUAAAGGACGUCAGAAAACAGUGGGCAUGUGGAAGACUCUGAGGCUGAAGGCAGGAAUCUUCCAAGACCCCAUCAAAAGCAAAAUGAAAACUCUUUUUAAAAGCUCAGUAAAAAGAGAAAGACACUUAAAAAAUUGAUAUUAACGUGAUCUCCAGGCUGUGUUUAUUGAAACAAUCUUAGGUCCAUAAUCAAAACAAUGUUUUGUCAUUUCCCCUCCAGGCUGGUCACAAGCUACAAACUGGAUCAUUUGACACAUCUCUCGUGCACUUGAAACUCAAAUUGAAACUCUGCCAUUUUAACUGUACAAAGAAAAAUAACUUUUCAAAGCCCCACAUAUAUAUUUUUCUGAUUCAUCCUUUUGAUAUUUUACUUGGACCAAAACCCAAAUUCACUUGGUUUUCUCCAAGCACAUAUUUGGGCUACUUCCAUCAUUGUUCUUGGAAAUGGUUUUUCCUUUUGACAUACUGUAUGUUCAGUAUACAACCUGGUCAACACCAUCACAGGCCACAGCACUGACUCCCUCGUGGGCUGUCAGGAGCAUCUCAAAAAGAUUAUGUCUCCACUUAGGCUCAUCAGCUGCUUGUUUUGCAAUGUUCAGGAAAACACGUGUGUGUGUGUUUAUGUGUUUAUGUCAGCGUGAGUUUUGUGUCUGCUGGGGGAAAUGCUGGGUUAGCAUGUUUUUCAGAGUUUGAAGAAUUUCUGUGGCUUAUUUGCUGA
Equus asinus (donkey) is the source of this 7714-nucleotide long non-coding RNA. The record is from Ensembl. NCBI's taxonomy places the organism in Eukaryota, Metazoa, Chordata, Mammalia, Perissodactyla, Equidae.